This 492-nucleotide ribosomal RNA is filed under the name uncultured bacterium. Its description in RNAcentral is "partial 16S ribosomal RNA". It matches the Rfam family "Bacterial small subunit ribosomal RNA", at positions 29 to 507 of the family's 1533-position model. The record is from RNAcentral.
AGUGAACGCUGGCGGUAGGCCUAACACAUGCAAGUCGAACGGCAGCACAGUAAGAGCUUGCUCUUACGGGUGGCGAGUGGCGUACGGGUGAGGAAUACAUCGGAAUCUACUUUUUCGUGGGGGAUAACGUAGGGAAACUUACGCUAAUACCGCAUACGACCUACGGGUGAAAGCAGGGGAUCUUCGGACCUUGCUCGAUUGAAUGAGCCGAUGUCGGAUUAGCUAGUUGGCGGGGUAAAGGCCCACCAAGGCGACGAUCCGUAGCUGGUCUGAGAGGAUGACCAGCCACACGGGAACUAGGACACGGUCCAGACUCCUACGGGAGGCAGCAGUGGGGAAUAUUGGACAAAGGGCGCAAGCCUGAUCCAGCCAUACCGCGUGGGUGAAGAAGUCCUUCGGGUUGUAAAGCCCUUUUUUUGGGAAAGAAAAGCAGCAGGUUAAUACCCCGCUGUUCUGACGGUACCCAAAGAAUAAGCACCGGCUAACUUCGUG